GGAAUUUUGGACAAUGGGCGAAAGCCUGAUCCAGCCAUGCCGCGUGAGUGAAGAAGGCCUUCGGGUUGUAAAGCUCUUUCAGUCGAGAAGAAAAAAUUUCGACAAAUAAUCGCAAUUCAUGACGGUAUCGACAGAAGAAGCACCGGCUACCUACGUUCCAGCAGCCGCGGUAAUACGUAGGGUGCAAGCGUUAAUCGGAAUUACUGGGCGUAAAGGGUGCGCAGGCGGCCUUGGAAGGCAGAUGUGAAAUCCCCGGGCUUAACCUGGGAACUGCGUUUGAAACUACAGGGCUAGAGUGUAGCAGAGGGGGGUGGAAUUCCAUGUGUAGCAGUGAAAUGCGUAGAGAUAUGGAAGAACAUCGAUGGCGAAGGCAGCCCCCUGGGUUAACACUGACGCUCAGGCACGAAAGCGUGGGGAGCAA
This 421-nucleotide ribosomal RNA is filed under the name uncultured bacterium. RNAcentral's name for it is "bacterial SSU rRNA". It matches the Rfam family "Bacterial small subunit ribosomal RNA", at positions 358 to 771 of the family's 1533-position model. The record is from RNAcentral.